RNAcentral lists this ribosomal RNA (430 nucleotides) under Pseudomonadota bacterium. RNAcentral's name for it is "Proteobacteria bacterium partial 16S ribosomal RNA". It matches the Rfam family "Bacterial small subunit ribosomal RNA", at positions 355 to 776 of the family's 1533-position model. Lineage: Bacteria; Pseudomonadati; Pseudomonadota. The record is from RNAcentral.
UGGGGAAUAUUGGACAAUGGGGGGAACCCUGAUCCAGCCAUGCCGCGUGUGUGAAGAAGGCCUUAUGGUUGUAAAGCACUUUAAGCGAGGAGGAGGGUACUGGUAUUAAUACUACCAGGUACUGGACGUUACUCGCAGAAUAAGCACCGGCUAACUCUGUGCCAGCAGCCGCGGUAAUACAGAGGGUGCGAGCGUUAAUCGGAUUUACUGGGCGUAAAGCGUGCGUAGGCGGCUAAUUGAGUCGGAUGUGAAAUCCCCGAGCUUAACUUGGGAAUUGCUUUCGAUACUGGUUAGCUAGAGUGUGGGAGAGGAUGGUAGAAUUCCAGGUGUAGCGGUGAAAUGCGUAGAGAUCUGGAGGAAUACCGAUGGCGAAGGCAGCCAUCUGGCCUAACACUGACGCUGAGGUACGAAAGCAUGGGGAGCAAACAGG